CACAUGCAAGUCGAGGGGCAGCGGGAUUGAAGCUUGCUUCAAUUGCCGGCGACCGGCGCACGGGUGAGUAACGCGUAUCCAACCUUCCGUACACUCAGGGAUAGCCUUUCGAAAGAAAGAUUAAUACCUGAUGGUAUGAUGAGAUUGCAUGAUAGCAUCAUUAAAGAUUUAUCGGUGUACGAUGGGGAUGCGUUCCAUUAGGUAGUAGGCGGGGUAACGGCCCACCUAGCCAACGAUGGAUAGGGGUUCUGAGAGGAAGGUCCCCCACAUUGGAACUGAGACACGGUCCAAACUCCUACGGGAGGCAGCAGUGAGGAAUAUUGGUCAAUGGACGAGAGUCUGAACCAGCCAAGUAGCGUGAAGGAUGAAGGUCUUACGGAUUGUAAACUUCUUUUAUAAGGGAAUAAAACCUCCCACGUGUGGGAGCUUGUAUGUACCUUAUGAAUAAGCAUCGGCUAACUCCGUGCCAGCAGCCGCGGUAAUACGGAGGAUGCGAGCGUUAUCCGGAUUUAUUGGGUUUAAAGGGAGCGCAGACGGGUCGUUAAGUCAGCUGUGAAAGUUUGGGGCUCAACCUUAAAAUUGCAGUUGAUACUGGCGUCCUUGAGUGCGG
This 610-nucleotide ribosomal RNA is filed under the name uncultured bacterium. Its description in RNAcentral is "bacterial SSU rRNA". It matches the Rfam family "Bacterial small subunit ribosomal RNA", at positions 52 to 651 of the family's 1533-position model. The record is from RNAcentral.